Molecule: ribosomal RNA, 495 nt
Filed under: uncultured bacterium
Lineage: Bacteria
Description: bacterial SSU rRNA
Rfam family: Bacterial small subunit ribosomal RNA
Source: RNAcentral
CGGCGUGCCUAACACAUGCAAGUCGUACGAGAAAGUCGGCUUCGGCUGAUGAGUAAAGUGGCGCACGGGGUGAGGUAACGCGUGGAUAAUCUGCCCUUGAGUGUGGAAUAACGUACCGAAAGGUGCGCUAAUACCGCAUAAUGCCCUGGCAACACAAGUUGUCCGGCCAAAGAAGGCCUCUGUUUACAAGCUUUUGCUCAAGGAUGAGUCCGCGUACCAUUAGCUAGUUGGUGGGGUAACGGCCUACCAAGGCUACGAUGGUUAGCUGGUCUGAGAGGAUGAUCAGCCACACUGGAACUGAGACACGGUCCAGACUCCUACGGGAGGCAGCAGUGAGGAAUAUUGCGCGAAUGGGGGCAACCCUGACGCAGCAACGCCGCGUGAGUGAGGAAGGUUUUCGGACUGUAAAGCUCUGUCGAGCGGGAAGAAAUGUACCAUGGCUAAUAUCCAUGAUAUUUGACGGUACCGCUAGAGGAAGCACCGGCUAACUCCGUG